GAUGAACGCUGGCGGCGUGCCUAAUACAUGCAAGUCGAGCGAAUGGAUUAAGAGCUUGCUCUUAUGAAGUUAGCGGCGGACGGGUGAGUAACACGUGGGUAACCUGCCCAUAAGACUGGGAUAACUCCGGGAAACCGGGGCUAAUACCGGAUAACAUUUUGAACCGCAUGGUUCGAAAUUGAAAGGCGGCUUCGGCUGUCACUUAUGGAUGGACCCGCGUCGCACUAGCUAGUUGGUGAGGUAACGGCUCACCAAGGCAACGAUGCGUAGCCGACCUGAGAGGGUGAGCGGCCAAACUGGGAAUGAGACACGGCCCAGACUCCUCCGGGAGGCAGCAGUAGGGAAUCUUCCGCAAUGGACGAAAGUCUGACGGAGCAACGCCGCGUGAGUGAUGAAGGCUUUCGGGUCGUAAAACUCUGUUGUUAGGGAAGAACAAGUGCUAGUUGAAUAAGCUGGCACCUUGACGGUACCUAACCAGAAAGCCACGGCUAACUACGUGCCAGCCGCCGCAGUAA
RNAcentral lists this ribosomal RNA (515 nucleotides) under uncultured bacterium. RNAcentral's name for it is "partial 16S ribosomal RNA". It matches the Rfam family "Bacterial small subunit ribosomal RNA", at positions 28 to 523 of the family's 1533-position model. The record is from RNAcentral.